This 512-nucleotide ribosomal RNA is filed under the name uncultured bacterium. RNAcentral's name for it is "partial 16S ribosomal RNA". It matches the Rfam family "Bacterial small subunit ribosomal RNA", at positions 28 to 507 of the family's 1533-position model. The record is from RNAcentral.
GAUGAACGCUGGCGGCGUGCCUAAUACAUGCAAGUCGAACGAAACUUCUUUAUCACCGAGUGCUUGCACUCACCGAUAAAGGGUUGAGUGGCGAACGGGUGAGUAACACGUGGGCAACCUGCACAAAAGAGGAGGAUAAGACUUGAAAACAGGUGCUAAUACCCCAUAACCAUAGUUACCGAAUGGUAACUAUGUAAAAGGUGGCUAUACUACCGCUUUUGGAUUGGCCCGCGGCGCAUUAGCUAGUUGGUAGGGUAAAGGCUUACCAAGGCAAUGAUGCGUAGCCGAAUUGAGAGGUUGAUCGGCCACAUUGGGACUGAGACACGGCCCAAACUCCUACGGGAGGCAGCAGUAGGGAAUCUUCCACAAUGGGCGAAAGCCUGAUGGAGCAACGCCGCGUGGGUGAAGAAGGUCUUCGGAUCGUAAAACCCUGUUGUUAGAGAAGAAAGUGUGUGAGAGUAACUGUUCACGUUUCGACGGUAUCUAACCAGAAAGCCACGGCUAACUACGUG